RNAcentral lists this non-coding RNA (583 nucleotides) under Pongo abelii (Sumatran orangutan). Lineage: Eukaryota; Metazoa; Chordata; Mammalia; Primates; Hominidae. The record is from RNAcentral.
AAGUUUCAUCAGCUAGUUCAUACUUGCGUGGAAAGAGUGGUCGUUUGCGCUGGGUCAUCACUGUGUAGUAUUGGGGAUACUUACGUGAGAAAAAAACUUAACGCUAGAGACGUUUACGCACUAGUGGAGAAGCCAGGAUUGUUGCCUUAGAGUUACAGUAGAUAAAAGUACCUGAGAGAACUGCGGGGACUCCCAACCUGGACGCCUGCGCCGGAGUAUUAAAUCCAGCUAGAGAAUGGCAUGUGCAAAGAUACAGAGCUACGGUCAAAUGGGCAACUGAAGAUGAUGAUGAAGAUGAUCUUGACACCGAGAAGCAGAAGACCAAUGAAGAUGACCAAACAGCAAAAAUGGAUAAGUUAAAAGAAGGUAAAAGAAGGCCACUCGUACUUGCUGUCUCAGUAUCUAAAGGUGGUCACCUUCCAGUAGAGAGGCCCACCCACUGCAAACAAUGCCACCGAAGGUGACAUGCACUUUCUACCACCCAUCCAAAACUGUAACGUGAAUCUGCAACAGGAGAGGAAAGAAGAACCAAAACUUCCAAGGCUUUGCAUUUUUUCUUAAAAGCAUUUUUUUUUUUUUGAGA